GUAGGUUACGGUGACAUGACGCCACAAACUACACUUGGACGUUUAGUAGGAAGUUUAUGUGCUGUUAUGGGUGUUCUAACUAUUGCACUCCCAGUACCUGUUAUUGUUAGUAAU
Non-coding RNA from Thelazia callipaeda (thelaziosis nematode), 114 nucleotides. The record is from Rfam. Lineage: Eukaryota; Metazoa; Nematoda; Chromadorea; Rhabditida; Thelaziidae.